AAAGUUGCUGUAGUUAAAAAGCUCAUAGUUGGAUCUUGGGAGCAGCCGGGCAGUCCGCCGGGAGGCAAGCCACCGCCCGUCCCCGCCCCUUGCCUCUCGGCGCCCCCUCCAUGCCCUUAGCUGAGUGUCCCGCGGGGCCCGAAGCGUUUACUUUGAAAAAAUUAGAGUGUUCAAAGCAAGCCGGAGCCGCCUGCAUACUGCAGCUAGGAAUAAUGGAAUAGGACCGGGGUUCUAUUUUGUUGGUUUUUGGAACUGAGGCCAUGAUUAAGAGGGACGGCCCAGGGCAUUCGUACUGCGCCGCUAGAGGUGAAAUUCAAGGUGAAAUUCUUGGACAGGCGCAAGACGGACCAGAGCGAAAGCAUUUGCCAAAAAUGUUUUCAUUCAUCAAAAACGAAAGUCGGAGGUUCAAAGAUGAUCAGAUACCGUCGUAGUUCCGACCAUAAACGAUGCCGACGAAAAAGUUAUUAUAUAAAAAUUUUUAUAAAAAACCUCAUAAUCAUCCACCAGCCUCAGCCUCCCUGACUGCUGGAAUUACACAUGUGCGCCACCACACUGUGUAGAAGGCUGGGGUUUUU
Molecule: non-coding RNA, 575 nt
Filed under: Heterocephalus glaber (naked mole-rat)
Lineage: Eukaryota; Metazoa; Chordata; Mammalia; Rodentia; Bathyergidae
Description: Eukaryotic small subunit ribosomal RNA
Rfam family: Eukaryotic small subunit ribosomal RNA
Source: Rfam by way of RNAcentral